Molecule: long non-coding RNA, 5714 nt
Organism: Cervus hanglu yarkandensis (Yarkand deer)
Lineage: Eukaryota; Metazoa; Chordata; Mammalia; Artiodactyla; Cervidae
Source: Ensembl
AGAGAAAUUGGAACCCUCUGUUCAUUGCUGGUAGGAGUAUAAAAUAGUUCAGCUUUAUGGAGAGCUGUUUGACCAUUCCUCAAAAAGUUAAAAAUAGAAUUUCCAUAUGAUCUAGCAAUUCAGCUCCUAGGUAUAUACCCCAAAGAACUGGAAACAGGUACUCAGACAAAUAUGUGUAUACACGUUUGUAGCAGCACCACUGACAAUUGCCAAAAGAUGGAAACAGCACAAAGGCCCAUCAGUGGAUGAUCAGAUAAACAAACUGGGAUAUACAUGUAAUUGAAUAUUAUCCAGUCUUAAAAAGGAAUGAAGUGCUGAUCCACGCCACAAUGUGGAUGAACCUUGAAAACAUUUAUGCUAAGUGCCAGAAGUCAGUUACAAAAGGUCACAUACCCUAUGACUUCAUUUAUAUGAAAUAUCAAAAAUAGGUCAAUAGCCUGCCAGGGACUGAGGGGAGAAGAGGAUGUGAAGAAAGCAUUUCAAUAGGUAGGAGGUUUUAUUUUGGAUUGAUGGAAAUGUUUUGGAAACAGACCAAGGUGGCUAGGAUCUAGCCACCUACAUAUCAGGAAUGUACUAAAUGCCAUUGAAUUGUACACUUUACAUAGUUAAUUUUACGUUGCACGGAUUUCCCCUUAAUUUUUUUAUUGUAAGUGAAGCUACUCAGAAAUAUCAGAUUACUGACCAUCUCAACUCACCCCAUGGACCCCAAAUCCUGGAAACAACUUAGGUCAAUCCUCAGGGCCUGGGUAGCAAUUUCAUCCAUGCUUAAUUUGAUCUAGUGCUCCUGGUAGUUUGGAAGCUCUAGAAAACAGACCGGGAAAAUUCUCAAGAUGUUAGCUCACACCAGUCUCUAGUGCUCCCUUUUAAAUCCUGGGGGGUGGGGGGAUGCCGGAACCUAAAACUGCAAGACAGGAGAUUGUCCUCGAAGCGAACGCACUACCGCCCCAUGGUGCGCAAAGCCCUCUCACAGUACAGGUGCGGCCUCCACUCCCUCAGGUCAGUGCUCAGUCCACUGUCAGCUUCAUUCCCCGGUCCCUGCGGCUCCCGGUGGGAAGCCCGGCCCCUCGCCUACGCGGUGCCCGGGCUCCAGUGCGGCCGGACUUGGACCCGGGAGCCAGGCGUCGCCGACGGGGCGGGGCCGGGGCGGGCCGGGGGCGGGGCCUGCGCCGGCACCGGGUCUGCCGGGCGCUGGGCCAGCCGCGUAAACACCGCUGGAGCGGCGCGGCGGAGCAGUAUUGCAGAGUACCUUCAGGCUUCAAUUCCAGCUUAGAAGCCAGAGGAAUCCAUCCCAGCUGCUCUGUUCUCCUUCAGGAGCCAGGUAAUAAGAGGGGUCAGGAGAAGGUGUGAAAGCGGCUUCCCAAGGUCCCCGAGUUCAGUGAGAGGGGAUGUGGGAGAAGGCAGCAUGGAAGAAUAUCUGUCUAAAUGCUGAUACUUGUUAUUUCCCUUUAAAAAUUAAUAGCUUUACGACCCCAUAGACUGUAGCCUGCCAGGCUCUUCUGUCCAUGGAAUUCUCCAGGCCAGAAUACUGGAGUAGGUAGCCAUGCCCUUCUCCAGGGGAUCUUUCUGACCCAGAGAUGGAACCCAGAUCUCCCACAUUGCAGGUGGAUUCUUUACUGUCUGAACCACCAGGGAAGCCCCUGUUAUUUCCCUUUUAAAAGUUAAUAGCUUUACAAAAAACAGCAGACACAAUUCAUGUUUUGUUAUAGAAGUUUUAAAAAAUGUAGAAAAAUAUCAUGUAUCACCCGCAAUCUCCCUAUCCAAAGAUAAGCACCUUUAAUGUUGUAUAAUAUUUCUUGCCAGUCCUUCAUAUAUAUAUACAUUUUCUAAGAAAAUUCAGAUGCUUAUAUCUGUGGUUUCACUAUCCAAAGAUAAGCACCUUUAAUGUUGUAUACUAUUUCUUGCCAGUCCUUCAUAUAUAUAUACAUUUUCUAAGAGAAUUCAGAUGCUUAUAUCUGUGGUUUUAAAUCUACUAAAUUUAGCAUCUUGGCUUUUUUCAUGUUAGUAAAUAUUCUUUGAAGUAAGAUUUUUAUUAGUCAUAUAUCGGAUGGAUAUAUUAUCAUACAGAGUCAGACAUCUUAGUCGUUUUCGCUUAAAAAAAUUAUAAAUGACUGCAACAACCAUGUUUUCAGAUAAAUCUUUUAUUAUUUUCGUAGGACAGAUUCCGAGAAGUAGCAUUUCAGGAUCAAAAGGUAUGAAUGUUUUUAAAGCUCUUGAUGUUUACUGCCUUCAAAAAGGCUGGUGCAGUUUGUACCAGGGAUGCUUGAGAUCCAGUUUUUUUCACACCCUCCAUCCAGGUGGGCAUUGCAUGCGUACCUUGUCAGUCAGAUCACUGCAUUCUCCUGCUGCAGCUCUCCUAGUCUGAGAAAGCUCCUGUUGCUCUUCCUCCCCAGGGGAUCUCAGACCAACCACAGGGUAUUCAGGAGAAAGCACUGCUCAUUCUUUCACGCCCCCAUUCAGCGAGCAAGUUGUGCAGAGCAGUAAGUAAGUGUGCUAAGGUAGGUGCGUGAGGCCCUGCCCUUGCAAUAGGGAGGUGAACUGUAACUGGACACUUUGAGUACCAAGUUUGGGCCCAGGCUGGGGCAUCUGAUUACUUGGCAGGAGCAGCUCCAGGGAGGGUUUAACACCAGCCUGAGAAUCGCCCAGGGACUGUCUCAAAAUGCAGAUCCCUGGACCUUUGGCCAGAAUGAAACAGGAUCUGCAUUGGAAGUUAGCACCCUAACAUAGUGUUUAAGAGCACAGAACCUGACCACCUCAGUCCAAGGAUGACUUUGAACUUAUCACUUUUAAAAUCUUUUUUUCUCAUCUGUAAAAUGAGAAAUAACGGCAGUACAGUAAGUGCCCUGCAUCGAACAAGUUCUGUUCCAAGAGGCCAUAAAUCCAGUUUGUUCUUAAGUCCAACAAAGUUAGCCUAGGUACCCAACUAACACAAUUGGCUAUAUAGUACUAUGCUGUAAGAGGUGUAUAAUACUUUUCACACAAAUAAUACAUAAAAAGGAAACAGAAAAUUUUUAAUCUUACAGUACAGUACCUUAAAAAGUACACCAGACAUGUGAACUCACGCUACCGGGCUUGCGAACUCAUGUUCGAAUCUCUGAAAGUGUGCAGGUUGAAGGCUGGUCCGUAGGAGACUGACUGUCCCUCGUUCCUGACUUGUGUUUAGCACACAGUGAGGGCUCAGCAGCUUCUCUGCCGCCACCCUUCAGGUGGCCUGGGCCACAUUGCCAAACAGCAUCUCCAGCAUCUUUCAGCUUUCUGAAAGUCCUAAGCCAUGCCCUCAGAUGCUGGGAGCCCCAGAAAGUGCCUCCAGCUGUCCCCACCUCCUCCAGGGCUAGAGGGCUGUGAUUAGGAUGCCUUUGCUCCAACCCAAGACCAGCUCUUCUGGCUGCAACCCCUCCCUGUCCUGCUUUUCUGGGGGUCCCAGGCAGCGUCCACGGAGAGAAGGAAAUCUGUUCAGGGAGCAUUUGUUUUCUGCUGAGGAGGCCAUACAUUACAUGUGGUGGUUGGCAAAGCAUGUUUUGUAGUUUUCUGACUUUUCUCCCUCUGCACUGCAGUUUCACAUGGAAGGGAUAUAGUCUGUUUUUAAAUGUGCUCUCCCUGGGUGUGUCCACAGACUUUGGGAGGCAGACGUGUUUUCCUGGGAUUUGGUGACUGGCUGAAGAAAUGGAAACUGGAAAGGACUUAACUCUUACUUGAUCGUGGAUCCCCUGCUUUUCUCUUCCUACCUGCCCUGUAGCUCCCUUUCUCCUUCAAGAAGCAUCUUAGCCUCUUAUUUGUCCAGCCCCCUCGUGCUUUGCUCUAGGGACUGAGGCAGCCUGGCUGCUGGCAGCUGUGGUUCUGAAGGGUGAGCUCGCCUCUGCCCUGGGGGCCGCAGCCCUCCCGUUUAGAUGCAGGAAUUCCUGACCCACUCCUCCAGUCACUGUGAAGAUAAAUCCCAGGGCCUCUAAAGGCGUGGGAAGAACAGAAGGAGGGAGAUGGUAACUAAAUUAUUAAUUCACAGCCCAGACAAAACAAAGUAUUGAAAGAGCUGCUACACUGUUCCAGAUAGGGUGUCCUAAUUUAGCUUGAGGUGCAGCCUGCUAGCUCUGUGUUCAGUGACGCUCUUUCAGUAAGAAUGGACUCAGCGUUGCCACAGGGUCAGUGAGGGCAUCUCCUGGGCCCAGGCAGGUGUAUGUUUAGGAUUUAUCUAGCGGGGCCCACCCUUGCAGAGGAAUGCUUUAGAGUUUUUCUGCCUGGGUCUCUGUUAGGUAAUCUCUUUCAUUACUGUUACCAUAGAUGAAGGACGCUAAGAACUUCCCAAGGUCUCACAGCCCGUCCCCUCUAAUUGGGCUCUUGGGUAGACUCUGCUGGUCCCAAGGUCCGAGUGCUGAGAAGCAGAUCCGUCUCCUGGGUCCUGGGCAGCACCGCUCCUGGGGUCUCCGGGGAAGAGGCAGGAGGGCUCAGCCGGCCCUCUGCUCCCACACAGCACACUCUGGUCACAUCCCUCCUUAAUUCAGAAACCUUGGCUGCCCCCUCCCGCCGCUAGCUUCAGCUCCUCCUCCCCGGCCGGGCCCCCACGCCCCUCCCUCUGAUGCUCCCACCUCCUGUCGCUGCCUCCGUGGUCCCCACACUUCAGCCACCUCAGCCUGCUGGGUGUUUCAGAAUUUCAGCCAAGGCCCCCAUUCCGCCGUCUGUUUACGAGGUUACUUCCAGGUGCCCACCUACUGCAGCCUCUGCCUGGCAAGAUAUUCCUAACCUUUGUGCCUCGUCUCAUGUCCCUCUUCCUCCUAAAGACUUGAGACGUUGAUAGAUUGCCCCCCCCCCCCCCCCCUACUCUUAACUCCAGUAGCACAGCAUCUUCGUCACCUCUCCUGGAAGUGACCUUAUUUUGCUUCCUACUGAUGUCACUACUGCUGUCCCUCCUAUACGUGUCGUUUCUCUGCUGAAGCCAGGGGAGCUUAGCUUGCUCAUUUUGAAUUCCCUGUAAGAGCUACGGGGAAGCCUGUAAGGGCCCGAGUCGGUGAGUAGGAUCAGGCUCUGCCAUGGGCCUGGACUUGGGGAUGGAGCUGAAGUCCAGCUGGAAGUAAUGCAGGCCACGGCCUGGGACACUGUCUUCAAAACAAAGCCUCAGAGCCUCUGCCAAGAUGAGCAGAACUGGCUGCCUCAGUGGAAGGAACCUGCCUGCCUUCUCCACUUGAAAAUUAUAGGGACUUCCCUGGUGGUCCAGUGAUUAAGACUUAGCCUUCCAGUGCAGGGGGUGUGGGUUUGAUCCCUGGUCAGGGAACUAAGAUCCUGCAUGCCUUGUGGCCCCCUCCCCCCAAAAAACCAAAACAUGCAACAGAAGCAAUAUUGUAAUAAAUUCAAUAAAGACUUUCGAAAUGGUCCAUAUAUUAAAGAAAGACAAUAUAGAAAUAGAGUAAAAAUGAUCAUAAAUUCUGAAGGCAACUGACAUGGAGAUGAACACUGAGACGAGAACAGACCUGACUGUUCCUACUGGCGUGAGUCUUCCCCAGGGUCCCAGGAGGCAGGUGAUGGGGCAGCUGGCCCGGCUGGUGGCUCAGCUGGCCCGGCUGGUGGCUCAGCUGACCUGCCCAGGGUGUUGGUAGGGGUUCGGGCUGCCCCAGCGUCCACAUGGUUCUGCUGAAUCCCCACACCUCUCAGGGCAGUGCAGUGGUUUUUCCUGUGGGUCCUGCCCUCGGCUAUACUUCCCCAACACACACACACACACACACACACAC